RNAcentral lists this long non-coding RNA (1567 nucleotides) under Capra hircus (goat). Its description in RNAcentral is "lncRNA (ENSCHIG00010023896.1)". The record is from RNAcentral. Lineage: Eukaryota; Metazoa; Chordata; Mammalia; Artiodactyla; Bovidae.
CCUGCCCCGCCACCUCUGCUCCUGCCCAGACCUUCUGGAACCAUCUCCCCGCUCCGUGUCCUCUAACACUUUCAGGCAUCGACCUCCGCCAGGCGCUCUGACGAGACUGCCCCUGGGGGCGCUCUGAGCGGGGCGAAACCUUCUGGAAGCCGCGCAAAGCCUGAUGGGAGACGCCCCUCAGUGCUUCUGGGUGGAGUGUGGGCGCCGAGCCUGAGCGACCUGUCCUCACACACCCGCGGCGGUUGCACUACCUAUAGCCUGUGGAACCCCCUGGAGGUCGUGUCCGGGAAGGUGCCAGAAGGUUCAAGCCCCCACAGAGAUGAUGCUCCUCUUUGCCUUCCUCCUCUUCAUGGGAUGGCCACUGGGCUUCGUUGAGCCCUCUCAGAGCCUGCGCUGCUACUCCUGUGGGACCCUCGGCAAAUUUAGCGUUCCCAACCAUUGCCCGACAAGUGAAUGCGACUCAAAUUCCACUGUCUGCUACACGGGCAACCUGAGCAUGAUCGUGGAAGCAGGUGAGUCCCUGGCAUCCAGAGUGGGAGGAUUGAUAGAGGGGGUUCCUCAGAGAAGCAAGGGGCCAAUGGCAGUGUCCCCUGGGGCAGAGCCCUGCCCUGCACCAGCCUUCCUCCGUGUCCUUAUCAGUACAGAGACGGGCUAGCUCCAGCAGCCACCUGUGUCGGGAGAUGGUGGUGCUUGGUGGGACAGGAUGGGAAUUUCAGCAGGGAAACAGGGGGCCCAGCGCAUCAGAGGAGAGAGUUAGGACAGUCAACCCCAGGAGGGUCAGAGGGGACGCCACCGCAGAUGCCUCAUUUUUUGCCCACAGACAUGAUUGAAUUGGAUAUCAGGGGCUGUGUCUCUUCCUGCCAGAUGCCUACAGAGUUCAUUAAGAGAUUGAUAGCCACAUCUAAAGCUAAAUUUGAAGAGUGGAACGUGAUCUGCUGUGAAAAGGACCUGUGUAACGGGUGGUCCGAGCAAGGCCCAACCCCUGUGCCUUGACCAGAGGGCCCCUUCCCCGUCUGGGCUCCACCCUCCUCCGGCCCUGUGAGGAGCCCCGGGGCUCAGACUCAGAGGGAAGGGGCACCAUUCACCAGCAUGGCGCCAAUCCAGCACACCCUCACGCACCCACACACACAUGCACUCAGACUGUCCUGGGAUGGGUCCCCACCGCAGGGCCCGGUCCUGGGACCACCCACUGCCCACUCCACUGGCCAGCCCAGCCCCAGGUGGCCUGUAGUCCACCUCAGCAAAAAUAAAUGCCUUCCACAACAUCUUGUCCUUUGCAUCUGUUCAGUCCAGAAGUGGUGGGGGUCCCUGUCACCUGCUUGAAGGGAGGAUCUGUUUCAAUCCUGGGCAGGUUGAGCUCCUAGGGCUGUGGGUAUACCAGGGGUGCUGGUCCUGCAGGGGUCAGCUCUUACAGGAGUCAGGGUACCCACUCUUCCACCUGAAGCAUUUCCUCUUCCGCAGCAGAGUGGGAGGGGACCAAACUUCUCUGCCUUCUUCACUCCCUCAGCUGAGAAAAGGGAGACUCAACCACAACCUGUGAACACAAGCAGCCCUCGCAGACCUGUAG